UUCAACUCAACAAAGAAACUGUUCCUG
Molecule: non-coding RNA, 27 nt
Filed under: Rattus norvegicus (Norway rat)
Lineage: Eukaryota; Metazoa; Chordata; Mammalia; Rodentia; Muridae
Source: RNAcentral